AAUAAAAAAAAAACACAUUUAUUAUCACCUCAUUCCUACAUACAUACACAGCGUCAAGUUCUGGAUCGCUCAAAUCUCUAGUGCCUAGAAAAGAUGACAUCAGGGACCUCCUUGUUCCUUCUGCUUCUUCUGUUCUGUGGACGACCAACUGCAGGAAAUGCUUUGCCAAAAACUAAAACUAAUACUUAUGUACCAACAGUGAAGCCGGGGGUGUGCCCUCAAGUCACUUUUCCAGAUAAGUGUCCCGAUGAACCGCCACCUCCAAAAUCCUGCAAUAACGAUUUAGAUUGUACUGGAGAAAAGAAAUGCUGUCCAUUUCCCUGCGACAUAGUAUCAUGUUUUUGAUGAGUGGUUGGAAGAUUAUCGGCAAAUAAAGUGUUGACCAAGGAUAACCACAGAAGGAUAGGUUUCCUCGUAUUACAGAUCUGCAGUGAUCAGUGGAUCGGCCUUUAUAUAUCCGUCAUAUAAACUUGUCAGUAGUUGUAGUGACAGGAGUCUUGUGAGUUGCAAAUGAUUAGGGUUAUUGUUCUCUAUCUCCAUGAUUAGUUUCGCUUAUCACUGAUUGUGACAUUUCGCUUUUAUAAAUUUAUUAACAAAUUUAUAGGUUGUGCAAGAAGAAUUUUCUAAUCAUAAAAUCAGUAGAAUUUUGAUUUAUUGGAAUGUGGCUCUUUUCUUACAUCAGAUCUGGAGGUUCCAGAGUCCGUUUCUGUGAUCAGGCUUAGCUUCUCCAUGUUCUAUUAAUAAAUCUGUGAGAUGCAGUGAUGAGAGAUUGUGUCCGAUCAUCUGUUCAGAAUCCAUUCAUACAGGCACAGAUACAAAAUUCUGUCUGGGUUAAGUCAGUGUGCAUUCUGAAGAUAUGUUAAAUUUUUGUGACCAGUAUAAAUCACGGCUGGGUGACUUGAUCCCUCCAGAAGAUAACACCACUCCUUUAAAGGGUUUCUACCACCAGAUUUUCACCUAUUUAGCUGUCUGACACUAGCGAUCUGCUAGUGUCUGCUGUACCUAACCGUGUUCAUGUAUUACCUUUGUCUGGAGC
Bufo gargarizans (Asiatic toad) is the source of this 1036-nucleotide long non-coding RNA. RefSeq lists it as uncharacterized. The transcript has 3 exons. NCBI's taxonomy places the organism in Eukaryota, Metazoa, Chordata, Amphibia, Anura, Bufonidae. The record is from RefSeq and is a predicted model, not a curated record.